CUAAGGCUACAAGUGCUGUUUUCUUAUCCAAUAAAGACGAUCACUUUGAUUUUUUGGAUCUAAUCUCUUUUUAUACAUUUUAUUUUGUAUGUUUUAGAAAAAAAUGGUUACUUAGCCUGUGCCGUAAUAGUGGUUUCUUGAGAUGUAUCCCCUUAUGGGUACUGCAGUCUAGAUGCAUUUGCAGCCCGUGUGCCUUUGAUCAGAGAUUUCUCAUAGCGGUGUCCGUUCAACCCGUGCAUGCAUGUUACUCAAUCUUGUGCUCCAUGCUGUUGUAUAUAGCACUGUGCAGGCAAACUGCUCUCACUUCCUUCUCUACCGUAAAGCUACACAGCAGAGAACUCCAAAGCUGAGGGGAAGGACAGCGAGUAUUAGAUCAUGCAUAGGGGGACACAACUCGAAGAACCACAGUUACUGCACAGGGCUGUUUCUAAUCCUGUGACCCAUCAAUCAGACAUGCUUUAAGGCAAAGAAUUCCAAGAUUGGGCUGAAUGAUCUUCCCACCUUCCUGGGAGAGGAGAUUUUGAGGGGCCUGGAGUGUGAUUGCCUCUUCCUGAGUCUUUGAAGUCUCUCAGCCGGUGAUAACACAGACUGCUUAGAUCUCAAGGUUGCAUAUGAUGAAGGCAAAAUGCAACACUUAACAGAGGCAGCAUUGUUUAUACCAGACAGAGUGAUGAUUCCCCUGCACUUUAGGAGGGCACACACAGUCUACACAAUAGCAUAAUUUUCCCAUCGCAAAGAGAGCGCACAUCACCCAUGGGGGCCCC
Molecule: long non-coding RNA, 764 nt
Organism: Mauremys reevesii (Reeves's turtle)
Lineage: Eukaryota; Metazoa; Chordata; Testudines; Geoemydidae
Exons: 3
Source: RefSeq, a predicted model, not a curated record